This 562-nucleotide ribosomal RNA is filed under the name uncultured bacterium. Its description in RNAcentral is "bacterial SSU rRNA". It matches the Rfam family "Bacterial small subunit ribosomal RNA", at positions 224 to 783 of the family's 1533-position model. The record is from RNAcentral.
GGUGGGCAUGCGUAACAUUAGCUAGUUGGUAAGGUAACGGCUUACCAAGGCGACGAUGUUUAGGGGUCCUGAGAGGGUGAUCCCCCACACUGGUACUGAGACACGGACCAGACUCCUACGGGAGGCAGCAGUGAGGAAUAUUGGUCAAUGGGCGUAAGCCUGAACCAGCCAUCCCGCGUGAAGGAAGAAGGCGCUAUGCGUUGUAAACUUCUUUUCCAGGGGAAGAAAACCCCCGACGUGUCGGGGCUUGUCGGUACCCUGGGAAUAAGCAUCGGCUAACUCCGUGCCAGCAGCCGCGGUAAUACGGAGGAUGCGAGCGUUAUCCGGAUUUAUUGGGUUUAAAGGGUGCGUAGGCGGAUUAAUAAGUCAGCGGUGAAAACCUUCAGCUUAACUGGAGACUUGCCAUUGAUACUGUUAGUCUUGAGUACGGUCAAGGUAGGCGGAAUGUGUAAUGUAGCGGUGAAAUGCUUAGAUAUUACACAGAACACCGAUUGCGAAGGCAGCUUACUGGGCCAUUACUGACGCUGAUGCACGAAAGCGUGGGGAACGAACAGGAUUAGAU